This is a small nucleolar RNA of Nannospalax galili (Upper Galilee mountains blind mole rat), 68 nucleotides long. Ensembl annotates it as small nucleolar RNA, C/D box 61. NCBI's taxonomy places the organism in Eukaryota, Metazoa, Chordata, Mammalia, Rodentia, Spalacidae. The record is from Ensembl.
GCUGUGAUGAAUUUGAAUGCGCUGAUCUUCUGACAUGAUAAUUUUGUCCUCUAAGAAGUUCUGAGCUU